GGAGGUCACUGCUAUUGGGAUUCGACUAAGCCAUGCGAGUCGAGAGGGUUCGGCCCUCGGCUGACGGCUCAGUAACACGUGGAUAAUCUGCCCUUAGGUGGAGGAUAAUCUCGGGAAACUGAGGAUAAUACUCCAUAGAUCUAGGAUGCUGGAAUGCAUUUAGAUUGAAAGCUCCGGCGCCUAAGGAUGAGUCUGCGGACUAUCAGGUUGUAGUCAGGAUAAAGACCUGACUAGCCUAUGACGGAUACGGGUUGUGAGAGCAAUAACCCGGAGACGAUAUCUGAGACACGAUAUCGGGCCCUACGGGGCGCAGCAGGCGCGAAAACUUCACACUGUGCGAAAGCGCGAUGAGGGAAUCCCAAGUGCUUACUCGUAAGAGUAAGCUGUUUCUUUGUCUAAAAAGCAGAGAGAGU
This 413-nucleotide ribosomal RNA is filed under the name uncultured euryarchaeote. Its description in RNAcentral is "bacterial SSU rRNA". It matches the Rfam family "Archaeal small subunit ribosomal RNA", at positions 19 to 436 of the family's 1478-position model. The record is from RNAcentral. Lineage: Archaea; Methanobacteriati; Methanobacteriota.